GAUGAAGAACGCAGCGAAAUGCGAUAAGUAAUGUGAAUUGCAGAAUUCAGUGAAUCAUCGAAUCUUUGAACGCACAUUGCGCCCGCCAGUAUUCUGGCGAGCAUGCCUGUUCGAGCGUCAUUUCAACCAUCAAGCCCCAGGCUUGUGUUGGAGCCCUGCGGCUGCCGCAGCCUCCCAAAACCAGUGGCGGGCUCGCUAUCACACCGAGUGCAGUAGUUUACUCUUCGCUCAGGGCGUGUGGCGGGUGCUAGCCGUGAAACCCCCACCUUCUCAAGGUUGACCUCGGAUCAGGUAGGAAUACCCGCUGAACUUAAGCAUAUCAAUAAGCGGAGGA
This 334-nucleotide unclassified non-coding RNA is filed under the name soil metagenome. RNAcentral describes it as "partial contains 5.8S ribosomal RNA, internal transcribed spacer 2, and large subunit ribosomal RNA". The stretch from base 1 to 120 matches the Rfam family "5.8S ribosomal RNA", at positions 35 to 154 of the family's 154-position model. The record is from RNAcentral.